Molecule: long non-coding RNA, 963 nt
Organism: Salvelinus fontinalis (brook trout)
Lineage: Eukaryota; Metazoa; Chordata; Actinopteri; Salmoniformes; Salmonidae
Exons: 3
Source: RefSeq, a predicted model, not a curated record
UCUCCUUCUCCUAGCAUAUUCCGGCCUCAGAGAAUUACAUCAAGUACAGUGUCAGAAGAGCAGGUGGCUUCUACAAACUUUAACGAGAAUGUCAACCAGAUAGCCACCCAGGAAGCGGUGCUAAUAGCCAUGGUAGCCUGUCUGGACUGUCCACACCAGUGGCCGGAGCUGAUCACCAUCCUGCUGGAGCCAGUGAAGGAUCAGGACAGGCCACAGCAGAACAGGGCUCUGUUCACCUUUCACCAAGACCCUCGCUUCCAAACGACUGUUUUAGGGCGUAAGCACGUCUGCCUGCCAUUAGAUCUCCUUCUCUUUUUACAUGGACUUCUCUCACCCCACUUAAAAAAGGAAGAAUUAUUCCGCACUUCAUUAGCUCCUUCCAAGGCAGCGGCUACUAUUCCUUGGGCCCAACCACGAUUACGCAAUGACAUACAAUAAAACAGUACGUAACACAACACGUUAUUACACACCACUCUUCCAUAACAUAUCUACAAUACAAAAUAAAUCAUUGCGCAAAAUAGCAAUAUUAAAGUGUAUGUGUGUAGAGUGUGUGUGUUAACAUGUGUGUGUGUGCCAGUCUGUACUGUUCCAUAAGGUGUGCUCUCGCACCUUGGCUAACCGGGCUAUCUGCAUUGUGUCCCACCACCCACCAACCCCUCUUUUACGCUACUGCUACUCUCUGUUCAUCAUAUUUGCAUAGUCACUUCAACCAUAUCUACAUGUACAUACUACCUCAAUCAGCCUGACUAACCGGUGUCUGUUUGUAGCCUCGCUACUUUUAUAGCCUUGCUACUGUAUAUAGCCUGUCUUUUUACUGUUGUUUUAUUUCUUUACCUACCUAUUGUUCACCUAAUACCUUUUUUGCACUAUUGGUUAGAGCAUGUACGUAAGCAUUUCACUGUAAGGUCUACUACACCUGUUGUAUUCGGCGCACGUGACAAAUAAAGUUUGAUUUGAUUUGUA